Molecule: transfer RNA, 70 nt
Filed under: Dreissena polymorpha
Lineage: Eukaryota; Metazoa; Mollusca; Bivalvia; Myida; Dreissenidae
Description: tRNA-Gln
Source: RNAcentral
AAUUUUGCGCUGUGGUAUCGCACUUGCUUUUGGAUCAAGAGGCCUCGGUUUCGAAUCCCGGGGACAAUUA